GGCUGUAGCUCAGUGGUAGAGUGCCCGCCUCGCACAUGUAAGGCACUGGGUUUGAUCCUCAGCACCA
This 67-nucleotide transfer RNA is filed under the name Marmota monax (woodchuck). RNAcentral describes it as "tRNA.Ala". Lineage: Eukaryota; Metazoa; Chordata; Mammalia; Rodentia; Sciuridae. The record is from RNAcentral.